GUGUUAAGCAUUGUGUCC
Molecule: non-coding RNA, 18 nt
Filed under: Arabidopsis thaliana (thale cress)
Lineage: Eukaryota; Viridiplantae; Streptophyta; Magnoliopsida; Brassicales; Brassicaceae
Source: RNAcentral